This 634-nucleotide ribosomal RNA is filed under the name Anabaena sp. NC-K1. RNAcentral describes it as "bacterial SSU rRNA". It matches the Rfam family "Bacterial small subunit ribosomal RNA", at positions 85 to 752 of the family's 1533-position model. The record is from RNAcentral. Lineage: Bacteria; Bacillati; Cyanobacteriota; Cyanophyceae; Nostocales; Nostocaceae.
UUGUUCUAUUUUUUCGGACGGGGUGGUAACGCGUGAGAAUCUAGCUUCAGGUCGGGGACAACCACUGGAAACGGUGGCUAAUACCGGAUGUGCCGAAAGGUGAAAGAUUUAUUGCCUGAAGAUGAGCUCGCGUCUGAUUAGCUAGUUGGUGUGGUAAGAGCGCACCAAGGCGACGAUCAGUAGCUGGUCUGAGAGGAUGAUCAGCCACACUGGGACUGAGACACGGCCCAGACUCCUACGGGAGGCAGCAGUGGGGAAUUUUCCGCAAUGGGCGAAAGCCUGACGGAGCAAUACCGCGUGAGGGAGGAAGGCUCUUGGGUUGUAAACCUCUUUUCUCAGGGAAUAAAAAAAUGAAGGUACCUGAGGAAUAAGCAUCGGCUAACUCCGUGCCAGCAGCCGCGGUAAUACGGAGGAUGCAAGCGUUAUCCGGAAUGAUUGGGCGUAAAGCGUCCGCAGGUGGCACUGUAAGUCUGCUGUUAAAGAGCAAGGCUCAACCUUGUAAAGGCAGUGGAAACUACAGAGCUAGAGUACGUUCGGGGCAGAGGGAAUUCCUGGUGUAGCGGUGAAAUGCGUAGAGAUCAGGAAGAACACCGGUGGCGAAAGCGCUCUGUUAGGCCGUAACUGACACUGAGGU